This is an RNA transcript of Spinacia oleracea (spinach), 1848 nucleotides long. It is a transcript of the gene named PHAF1 protein At3g51130, with no coding region annotated. NCBI's taxonomy places the organism in Eukaryota, Viridiplantae, Streptophyta, Magnoliopsida, Caryophyllales, Amaranthaceae. The record is from RefSeq and is a predicted model, not a curated record. The transcript has 16 exons.
GAUACCUUGCACAACAUCAUUAACUUCAUUUCCCCUUUUCUACACAAAACACAAAAAACUUCCCAUCACAACACCGAUCGUCUCGGAAAAACUCAGGAGUCAGCCGGAAAAAAAAACCAGCAAAUAGUUUAGAGAGAGAAAAUAAAUUUCGGUGGAAGAAAUGUUGCAUCAGCCGCAGCCACCGCCGCAGCAACACCAGCGAGAGAGAGCUCGCCGCCGCUGCGAAGGCACCGCCAUGGGAGCCAUCGCCCUCGAUCUUCGUCCCGGCCUCGGCCUUGGUCCUUUCACUCUAGGAAUGCCAAUUUGUGAAGCGUUUGCGCAAAUUGAGCAGCAGCCUAACAUAUAUGAUGUGGUGCACGUCAAGUAUUUUGACGAGGAACCCCUAAAGUUGGAUAUGGUCAUCAGCUUUCCAGAUCAUGGGUUUCACCUCCGAUUUGAUCCUUGGUCCCAGAGGUUGCGGCUUAUUGAAAUUUUUGAUGUUAAAAGGCUUCAGAUGCGAUAUGCCACCUCUCUGAUAGGAGGACAGACCACUCUUGCAACCUUUGUAGCUGUAUAUCAGCUUUUUGGUCCUACAUAUCCAGGGAUUUACGACAAAGAAAGAGGCAUUUAUAAUCUGUUAUAUCCAGGACUGUCCUUUGCUUUUCCGAUUCCUACACAGUAUACAGACUGUUGCAAUGAUGGGGAAGCGGAAUUGCCUCUUGAAUUUCCUGAUGGUACUACUCCAGUUACUUGCCGUGUCUGCAUAUAUGAUAGUUCAAUGGGUAAGAAGGUAGGAGUUGGAUCACUAAUGGACAAGGCUACUGUUCCUCCGCUUCCUGCUGGUAGCCUGUACAUGGAAGAAGUGCAUGUUAAGUUAGGAGAUGAAUUGCGGUUUUCUAUUGGUGAUCAGCAUGUACCUUUUGGUGCAUCUCCACAGGAUGUUUGGACUGAAUUAGGCCGUCCUUGUGGAAUACAUCAGAAGCAGGUUGACCAAAUGGUAAUUCAUUCAGCCUCAGAUCCGCGUCCACGAACAACCCUUUGUGGAGAUUACUUUUAUAAUUACUUCACACGUGGCUUGGACAUAUUGUUUGAUGGGCAGACACAUAAAAUCAAAAAGUUUGUUCUGCACACAAACUAUCCCGGGCAUCCUGAUUUUAACUCGUACAUAAAGUGCAAUUUCGUCAUCCAUUCAUCUGACUUUGAUGGAUCUUUCCCAGAUGAAAAUAGUUUGAAACACUGCAUUACUGCGAGCACGAAGUGGGAACAGGUCAAGGAAAUUCUCGGAGAUUGUGGUCGUGCUGCCAUCCAAACUCAAGGGUCUACAAACAAUCCUUUUGGAUCCACCUUUGUGUAUGGUUAUCAAAAUGUUGCAUUUGAGGUUAUGAAGAAUGGUUAUAUUGCCACGGUGACUCUGUUUCAGUCCUGAUAAAUUACUGAUGUUGCUGUGCAGAAUUGGAGAAUGGUCAGAUUGAUGGUGCGAUACAUCCGUUGCUAAAAUGUUGGAAGUGUAUAGCCACAUCUAAGCCAACAGCCUGCUUUUCCCCAGACGAAAGGUCGGGAAAUGAGCAAUCACAACGUUAAACGUACAGUUGCAUGUAGUAUUAUGUACAGUUCUGCUUACAGUGACUGGAAUUUCCGAGAAGCAAAUACGUGGAGGAAAUUGUGGCACAUAAAUUCGUUUCAUCAUGUAUAUAACUAAUUCUUAACUUGGAGAGGCGUAUAGAUCGCCUAGCUCCUUCUGUAACCGUUGUUUUAACUGGUUAUGUAGUUCAUGUUGCUUACACUUUCUGUUUCAAAUUCUAAAAUUAUGAUCUGUAUAUAAUUAUCCCAAUAAUUGCAUUGGAUAUGUCAUGUCUUUUGUUUUGCCUA